AUAUUUUAUUGUCCUUUCUUUGUUAUCCAAAAAAUAAGUUCUAUAAUUUUUUUGUUAAUUAUCAUUUUCUGAGUUUUAAACCUUUAAUUGGUCACACUUUGGAUCAAUUUUGGGGCUGGGAACCAUAAAACCGCUUACUCGAUCAACUUUUUGGAUAGGAUGAAGAUACUAAAUUUUUGUUUGGGUAUACAUAAAUAAUCUCGAUUCAAAAUUAUUUAGGGGGUCAAAUGAUUACUAUUAUAUAAUUAAAUUCAUUCCAGCUGCUCUUCCCAAACAUGAGAAAAAGUUGUUGCUGUUGUUACGGCUGAGAAGCCUUGCUAACGGAUGUGAAAGAGGAAAAAGAACAGAGCCUUGAGAUUUGGAUAAAUAUUUUGCAAUCAGUAAAUCGAAACAAGAGUUUAUUGGAACUAGCAACUCCACAAAAACAGUGCUGUAAAGUCUAGACUAUAAUGUAACCUGGUACACGCAAACUGAUCAGACUUACUGUUUCUAUUGCGGUUUAAAUGGGUUUGGGACAAGUGACAUGUGAUGGUGGGCGACAACUCGAUUUAAAGUGGCAAGAGGGAAGAGGCGAUCUACGGCGGGCGGCGGUUCGGUGACAAACAAGACAAUGGUCGUCAACAAAGGUUGGCUAUGUCGGUACGGCGGCCACAUCUGGUGAUGAUCGGUGGCCAAUUCGCUUCGGUGAAGGUGAAAUAAAUCUGCCCCGUAAAGUGCAGCGAACGAGACCUUAACUUCCUGUGUUCCGUGUUGGUUUCGGUAUCAAAUCACAGGGUACCUGGCAACAACGAUUUGGGUUGUUUUGGCUAAGUGGGAAGUGCUCAGGGGCAACAAAUGGUGGUCAAAUAACACCGGGUAGUGGGGUGAUGGCUGCCAUAACAUAACGGAAAAUGGGACAUCCACGUCAUGUGAUUUGGGUUCGGUUUUGGGGUCGAAUCAUAGUGUACGUACAUAGCGUGGGUUUGAACGUUAUAGGUUCAGCCAAGCAGAAUAUUAUGCAGGUCAAGAUGGGCGGUGUUGCAUGGUUGGACGGGCUGGAGUGGAUUAUGUAAAGAAA
Molecule: long non-coding RNA, 1057 nt
Organism: Helianthus annuus (common sunflower)
Lineage: Eukaryota; Viridiplantae; Streptophyta; Magnoliopsida; Asterales; Asteraceae
Exons: 4
Source: RefSeq, a predicted model, not a curated record